Molecule: ribosomal RNA, 414 nt
Filed under: Bacillus subtilis
Lineage: Bacteria; Bacillati; Bacillota; Bacilli; Caryophanales; Bacillaceae
Description: bacterial SSU rRNA
Rfam family: Bacterial small subunit ribosomal RNA
Source: RNAcentral
CGGAUCGUAAAGCUCUGUUGUUAGGGAAGAACAAGUGCCGUUCAAAUAGGGCGGCACCUUGACGGUACCUAACCAGAAAGCCACGGCUAACUACGUGCCAGCAGCCGCGGUAAUACGUAGGUGGCAAGCGUUGUCCGGAAUUAUUGGGCGUAAAGGGCUCGCAGGCGGUUUCUUAAGUCUGAUGUGAAAGCCCCCGGCUCAACCGGGGAGGGUCAUUGGAAACUGGGGAACUUGAGUGCAGAAGAGGAGAGUGGAAUUCCACGUGUAGCGGUGAAAUGCGUAGAGAUGUGGAGGAACACCAGUGGCGAAGGCGACUCUCUGGUCUGUAACUGACGCUGAGGAGCGAAAGCGUGGGGAGCGAACAGGAUUAGAUACCCUGGUAGUCCACGCCGUAAACGAUGAGUGCUAAGUGUU